UUUGAAUGGGAUGAGAGCAGCAAAAUGCGAUACUGGGUGUGAUGCAGAAUCCCGCGACCAUCGAGUUUUUGAACGCAAGUUGCGCCCGAGGCCUUCCGGCCGAGGGCACGUCUGCCUGGGCGUCACGCCAAAAGACACUCCCAACCCACCCGAGGGGGAGGGACGUGGUGUUUGGUCCCCCGUGCCGCAGGGCGCGGUGGGCCGAAGUUGGGGCUGCCGGCGAAUCGUGUCGGGCACAGCACGUGGUGGGCGACACUCAGUUGUUCUCGGUGCAGCGCCCCGGCACGCGGCCGGCGCAUCGGCCCUAAGGACCCAAGGAGCACCGCAGCGCGUAGCCGCUCGGACCGCGACCCCAGGUCAGUCGGGACUACCCGCUGAGUUUAAGCAUAUCAUAAGGCCGGGAGGAA
This 407-nucleotide ribosomal RNA is filed under the name Saccharum barberi. RNAcentral describes it as "eukaryotic LSU rRNA". The stretch from base 10 to 125 matches the Rfam family "5.8S ribosomal RNA", at positions 38 to 154 of the family's 154-position model. The record is from RNAcentral. Lineage: Eukaryota; Viridiplantae; Streptophyta; Magnoliopsida; Poales; Poaceae.